Molecule: ribosomal RNA, 502 nt
Filed under: Fusarium sp. H-10847
Lineage: Eukaryota; Fungi; Ascomycota; Sordariomycetes; Hypocreales; Nectriaceae
Description: eukaryotic LSU rRNA
Rfam family: 5.8S ribosomal RNA (bases 146-299)
Source: RNAcentral
AGUUUACAACUCCCAAACCCCUGUGAACAUACCAAUUGUUGCCUCGGCGGAUCAGCCCGCUCCCGGUAAAACGGGACGGCCCGCCAGAGGACCCCUAAACUCUGUUUCUAUAUGUAACUUCUGAGUAAAACCAUAAAUAAAUCAAAACUUUCAACAACGGAUCUCUUGGUUCUGGCAUCGAUGAAGAACGCAGCAAAAUGCGAUAAGUAAUGUGAAUUGCAGAAUUCAGUGAAUCAUCGAAUCUUUGAACGCACAUUGCGCCCGCCAGUAUUCUGGCGGGCAUGCCUGUUCGAGCGUCAUUUCAACCCUCAAGCCCAGCUUGGUGUUGGGACUCGCGAGUUAAAUCGCGUUCCCCAAAUUGAUUGGCGGUCACGUCGAGCUUCCAUAGCGUAGUAGUAAAACCCUCGUUACUGGUAAUCGUCGCGGCCACGCCGUUAAACCCCAACUUCUGAAUGUUGACCUCGGAUCAGGUAGGAAUACCCGCUGAACUUAAGCAUAUCAA